This 220-nucleotide ribosomal RNA is filed under the name uncultured Desulfuromonas sp. Its description in RNAcentral is "partial 16S ribosomal RNA". It matches the Rfam family "Bacterial small subunit ribosomal RNA", at positions 1162 to 1382 of the family's 1533-position model. Lineage: Bacteria; Pseudomonadati; Thermodesulfobacteriota; Desulfuromonadia; Desulfuromonadales; Desulfuromonadaceae. The record is from RNAcentral.
CCGGAGGGAAGGCGGGGAUGACGUCAAGUCCUCAUGGCCCUUAUGUCCAGGGCUACACACGUGCUACAAUGGCCGGUACAAAGGGUAGCAAGACCGCGAGGUGGAGCCAACCCAAAAAGCCGGUCUCAGUUCGGAUUGGAGUCUGCAACUCGACUCCAUGAAGUUGGAAUCGCUAGUAAUCGUGGAUCAGCAUGCCACGGUGAAUACGUUCCCGGGCCUU